This 253-nucleotide ribosomal RNA is filed under the name uncultured bacterium. RNAcentral describes it as "partial 16S ribosomal RNA". It matches the Rfam family "Bacterial small subunit ribosomal RNA", at positions 524 to 776 of the family's 1533-position model. The record is from RNAcentral.
UACGUAGGAUGCAAGCGUUGUCCGGAAUUAUUGGGCGUAAAGAGCGAGCAGGCGGUUUGGAAAGGUGGACGUGAAAUUUUAGGGCUUAACCCUAAAGGGUCGUCCAAAACUCCCAGACUAGAGUGCAGGAGAGGAAAGCGGAAUUCCCGGUGUAGUGGUGAAAUGCGUAGAUAUCGGGAGGAACACCAGAGGCGAAGGCGGCUUUCUGGCCUGUAACUGACGCUGAGGCGCGAAGGCUGGGGUAGCGAACAGG